GCCGCGGUGAUACGUAGGGUGCGAGCGUUGUCCGGAUUUAUUGGGCGUAAAGGGCUCGUAGGUGGUUGAUCGCGUCGGAAGUGUAAUCUUGGGGCUUAACCCUGAGCGUGCUUUCGAUACGGGUUGACUUGAGGAAGGUAGGGGAGAAUGGAAUUCCUGGUGGAGCGGUGGAAUGCGCAGAUAUCAGGAGGAACACCAGUGGCGAAGGCGGUUCUCUGGGCCUUUCCUGACGCUGAGGAGCGAAAGCGUGGGGAGCGUCGACGCGGCCG
RNAcentral lists this ribosomal RNA (269 nucleotides) under uncultured bacterium. RNAcentral describes it as "partial 16S ribosomal RNA". It matches the Rfam family "Bacterial small subunit ribosomal RNA", at positions 514 to 787 of the family's 1533-position model. The record is from RNAcentral.